This 497-nucleotide ribosomal RNA is filed under the name uncultured bacterium. RNAcentral describes it as "partial 16S ribosomal RNA". It matches the Rfam family "Bacterial small subunit ribosomal RNA", at positions 28 to 507 of the family's 1533-position model. The record is from RNAcentral.
GAUGAACGCUGGCGGCGUGCCUAAUACAUGCAAGUCGAGCGAACGGACGAGAAGCUUGCUUCUCUGAUGUUAGCGGCGGACGGGUGAGUAACACGUGGAUAACCUACCUAUAAGACUGGGAUAACUUCGGGAAACCGGUGCUAAUACCGGAGAAUAUUUUGAACCGCAUGGUUCAAAAGUGAAAGACGGUCUUGCUGUCACUUAUAGAUGGAUCCGCGCUGCAUUAGCUAGUUGGUAAGGUAACGGCUUACCAAGGCAACGAUGCAUAGCUGACCUGAGAGGUUGAUCGGCCACACUGGAACUGAGACACGGUCCAGACUCCUACGGGAGGCAGCAGUAGGGAAUCUUCCGCAAUGGGCGAAAGCCUGACGGAGCAACGCCGCGUGAGUGAUGAAGGUCUUCGGAUCGUAAAGCUCUGUUAUUAGGGAAGAACAUAUGUGUAAGUAACUGUGCACAUCUUGACGGUACCUAAUCAGAAAGCCACGGCUAACUACGUG